UACGUAGGGUCCAAGCGUUAAUCGGAAUUACUGGGCGUAAAGCGUGCGCAGGCGGUUCGUUAAGUCAGCUGUGAAAGCCCCGGGCUCAACCUGGGAAUUGCGGUUGAAACUGGCGAACUAGAAUCUGGCAGAGGGGGGUGGAAUUCCACGUGUAGCAGUGAAAUGCGUAGAGAUGUGGAGGAACACCGAUGGCGAAGGCAGCCCCCUGGGCUGAGAUUGACGCUCAGGCACGAAAGCGUGGGGAGCAAACAGG
This 253-nucleotide ribosomal RNA is filed under the name uncultured bacterium. Its description in RNAcentral is "partial 16S ribosomal RNA". It matches the Rfam family "Bacterial small subunit ribosomal RNA", at positions 524 to 776 of the family's 1533-position model. The record is from RNAcentral.